Molecule: ribosomal RNA, 918 nt
Filed under: uncultured bacterium
Lineage: Bacteria
Description: bacterial SSU rRNA
Rfam family: Bacterial small subunit ribosomal RNA
Source: RNAcentral
ACACAUGCAAGUCGAACGAGAAUCUGCUGAAGGAGGAUUCGUCCAACGGAUGUAGAGGAAAGUGGCGGACGGGUGAGUAACGCGUGAGGAACCUGCCUUGAAGAGGGGGACAACAGUUGGAAACGACUGCUAAUACCGCAUGAAGCAUAGGGGUCGCAUGAUCCUUAUGCCAAAGAUUUAUCGCUUCAAGAUGGCCUCGCGUCUGAUUAGCUGGUUGGCGGGGUAACGGCCCACCAAGGCGACGAUCAGUAGCCGGACUGAGAGGUUGAACGGCCACAUUGGGACUGAGAUACGGCCCAGACUCCUACGGGAGGCAGCAGUGGGGAAUAUUGGGCAAUGGGCGCAAGCCUGACCCAGCAACGCCGCGUGAAGGAAGAAGGCUUUCGGGUUGUAAACUUCUUUUAAGAGGGAGGAGCAGAAGACGGUACCUCUAGAAUAAGCCACGGCUAACUACGUGCCAGCAGCCGCGGUAAUACGUAGGUGGCAAGCGUUGUCCGGAUUUACUGGGUGUAAAGGGCGUGCAGCCGGGUCUGCAAGUCAGAUGUGAAAUCCAUGGGCUCAACCCAUGAACUGCAUUUGAAACUGUAGAUCUUGAGUGUCGGAGGGGCAAUCGGAAUUCCUAGUGUAGCGGUGAAAUGCGUAGAUAUUAGGAGGAACACCAGUGGCGAAGGCGGAUUGCUGGACGAUAACUGACGGUGAGGCGCGAAAGUGUGGGGAGCAAACAGGAUUAGAUACCCUGGUAGUCCACACUGUAAACGAUGAAUACUAGGUGUGCGGGGACUGACCCCCUGCGUGCCGCAGUAAACACAAUAAGUAUUCCACCUGGGGAGUACGAUCGCAAGGUUGAAACUCAAAGGAAUUGACGGGGGCCCGCACAAGCAGUGGAUUAUGUGGUUUAAUUCGAAGCAACGCGAAGAA